This 949-nucleotide ribosomal RNA is filed under the name Bursaphelenchus xylophilus (pine wood nematode). Its description in RNAcentral is "SSU rRNA". It matches the Rfam family "Eukaryotic small subunit ribosomal RNA", at positions 49 to 1024 of the family's 1831-position model. The record is from RNAcentral. Lineage: Eukaryota; Metazoa; Nematoda; Chromadorea; Rhabditida; Aphelenchoididae.
CCAUGCAUGUCUAAGUGGAGUAUUAUAUAGCGAAACUGCGAACGGCUCAUUACAACAGAUAUAAUUUACUAGUUCUUGUUUUCUAUAUGGAUAACUGCGGUAAUUCUGGAGCCAAUACAUGCAUCAAGCCCUGGCCGCUCGGUUAGGGUGCAAUUAUUGGAGCAAAACCAGUCUCGUACUGUUUGCUAACUCAGGAUAAUUCUGCAUAUCGCAUGGUCUUGUACCGGCGAAGUUUCUUUCAAGUAUCUGCUUUAUCAACUAUCGUUGGUAGUUUAUUGGUCUACCAUGGUGUUGACGGGUAACGGAGAAUCAGGGUUUGACUCCGGAUAGGGAGCCUUAGAAACGGCUACCAUGUCUAAGGAUAGCAGCAGGCGCGAAAAUUACCCAAUAUCAAAACGAUGAGGUAGUGACGAGAAAUAACAAGAUCGUUCUCUUUGAGAUCGAUUAUUGGAAUGAGUACAAUCCAGAAAUUUUAACGAGUACCUCCGAGAGGGCAAGUCUGGUGCCAGCAGCCGCGGUAAUUCCAGCUCUCGUAAUGUAUAGAAUUAUUGUUGCGAUUAAAAAGUUUGUAGUUGGAUUGCAACGCAGGUAUGGGUCCACCCUCUGGGUGCGUACUCAAUGCUUGCAUUUUGCAUGUUUUUGUGGCGUCGCUUCGGUGGCGUUCAUGAUGCAUGCAGGAUUACUUUGAACGGCUCAAGUGCUUAAAGCAAGUCUUAUGACUGAAUACCGGUGCAUGGAAUAAUGGAACAAGGUUGUGGCUGAGUUUUAUUGGUUUUGUCGGCUAAAACAAUGGUUAACAGGAACAGCCGGGGGCAUUCGUAUCGCUGCGCGAGAGGUGAAAUUCGUGGACCGUAGCGAGACGUCCUACAGCGAAGGCAUUUGCCAAGAGUGUUUUCAUUAAUCAAGAACGAAAGUCAGAGGUUCGAAGGCGAUUAGAUACCGCUCUAGU